Molecule: non-coding RNA, 54 nt
Organism: Salmo salar (Atlantic salmon)
Lineage: Eukaryota; Metazoa; Chordata; Actinopteri; Salmoniformes; Salmonidae
Source: Rfam
AGCACUCACUACUGUAAGUGUCUCUGGAUAAGAGUGUCUGCUAAAUGACUAACA